This 96-nucleotide non-coding RNA is filed under the name Cucumis melo (muskmelon). Lineage: Eukaryota; Viridiplantae; Streptophyta; Magnoliopsida; Cucurbitales; Cucurbitaceae. The record is from Rfam by way of RNAcentral.
AAUGGCAAUGACAAUAGGAAGCAAGGCUGUAAGGUGGAGCAAAUCCAUAAAGUUUGCCUCAGUUCAGAUUGUUCUUUACAGCUAGAGAACAUAAAG